RNAcentral lists this ribosomal RNA (496 nucleotides) under uncultured bacterium. RNAcentral describes it as "partial 16S ribosomal RNA". It matches the Rfam family "Bacterial small subunit ribosomal RNA", at positions 28 to 507 of the family's 1533-position model. The record is from RNAcentral.
GACGAACGCUGGCGGCGUGCCUAAUACAUGCCAGUUGAGCGCUGAAGGUUGGUACUUGUGCCGUCUGGGUGAGCAGCGAACGGGUGAGUAACGCGUGGGGCAUCUGCCUUUGAGCGGGGUACAACAAUUGAAAACGAAUGCUAAUACCGCAUAAAACCUUUCAACACAGUUUUUAAGUUUGAAAGAUGCCAUUGCAUCACUCAAAGACGAUCCCGCGUUGUUUUAGCUAGUUGGUGAGGUAAAGGCUCACCAAGGCGGUGCAACGUAGCCGACCUGAGAGGGGGGUCGGCCGCCUUGGACGGAGAACCGGCCCAAACGCCUACGGGAGGCAGCAGUAGGGAAACGUCGGGCAUGGGCGAAAAUCUGACCGCGAAACGCCGAGUGAGUGAAGAGGGUCUUCGGGUCGGAAAACACUGCUGGCAGAGAAGAACGCUGGUGAGAGUGGAAAGCUGAGCAAGUGACGGUAACUACCCAGAAAGCGACGGCUAACUACGUG